ACUCAAAUGAAUUGACGGGGGCCCGCACAAGCGGUGGAGUAUGUGGUUUAAUUCGACGCAACGCGAAGAACCUUACCGGGGUUGGAACUGCACUCGCAGGUUUCGGAGACGGGACGGUCCCUUCGGGGACGGGUGCGGAGGUGCUGCAUGGCUGUCGUCAGCUCGUGUCGUGAGAUGUUGGGUUAAGUCCCGCAACGAGCGCAACCCUUGUCCCCAGUUGCCAGCAGGUAAAGCUGGGCACCCUGGGGAGACUGUCGGCGAAAAGCCGGAGGAAGGUGGGGAUGACGUCAAGUCCUCAUGGCCUUUAUGCCCCGGGCUACACACGUACUACAAUGGGAGGUACAAAGGGCGGCCAGCCCGCGAGGGGGCGCGAAUCCCAAAAAACCUCCCUCAGUUCGGAUUGCAGUCUGCAACUCGACUGCAUGAAGGUGGAAUCGCUAGUAAUCGCAGAUCAGCAGGCUGCGGUGAAUACGUUCCCGGGCCUUGUACACACCGCCCGU
RNAcentral lists this ribosomal RNA (500 nucleotides) under uncultured bacterium. Its description in RNAcentral is "bacterial SSU rRNA". It matches the Rfam family "Bacterial small subunit ribosomal RNA", at positions 899 to 1397 of the family's 1533-position model. The record is from RNAcentral.